Molecule: long non-coding RNA, 23798 nt
Filed under: Triticum aestivum (bread wheat)
Lineage: Eukaryota; Viridiplantae; Streptophyta; Magnoliopsida; Poales; Poaceae
Description: long non-coding RNA (TAES_LNC002313)
Source: RNAcentral
AAAAACAUACUGGUUGACAGACUAUUGCAUAAUUAUAUAUUUUCUGUUGUUCUGUGUUCUUAGGCAAUGGCGAACAAUGGCAUCUUCGAAGUGAUCAUUGUUUUUCUCAUGGCGCAAGUCUGCUUGCUCAUGAUGAUGGCAACUAGCACAUGCAGCUGCUAGACCGGUGGGGUACAAUCCAGUGUGCUGCCCUAGGAACAUCUGUUGUUGCGGGUUCGGUAGCGGAUUGGCCAAUUCACCCGCACCAUCCAUUGUAUCUUGAUGUGUGGUUUUAUUUUCCCCCAAGUAGUAAGCUCAACAUAUAAUUGAUAUAUGUGGUUCAUGUGUUAUGUAAUCCUGAAUAUUUGUGAUGCUACUUUCAAGAGGUUAUUGUACUAGUUACUUACUUAAUAAAAUGGGAGGAUAUUAUUAUAUAUCUUGCUCGGAAUAUACCGCAAAGAGACUUAAGAUUAUGUUUACUUUAGUUCUUUUGGAAACUAGAUUAUUUUGCUGCAUUGAUUUAAGAAAAAAGAGUAACUAAGCAUACACGUUGACCUCAUGAGUCUGCAGUGUGUGCCUUUGGGAAUAUCUGUUUUAUCAUUCUGUUGGUCGUACAUUGUGUCAAGAUCAUCCGUGUCAUGGCGACAUGCUUUAUUUUCGUAGAGAACAUAAUUUUUUUAAACCAUUUAUUGGGUAAAGGAGUAUAUCACCAAUUAGUAGAAACCAACUACUAUUGGCAGGCUUUUUUUUGUUAAUUCAGGGAUGCACACUGUUUUGUUUUGCAUGAAUACCAAAGUCAUAUAUUGAAAUGGUCUUUUCCCCAACGGCAAUGGAUCCGGGCCAGGAUCGAAGCAGGCGCCAAAGACUUGAUUGCUUUUUAGUUUCAUCUGUUGGGGUCCUAUUUGCAAAGUUUCUCGCCUGGGCUAUAAUUUCUACUUACUGUUGGGUUCUUUUGUAAUAUGUUGCAUGCUUAUCUAAUUUAAGUCUGGGUUUCUUCCUCAGUUCAAAUAUAUAUAUAUAUAUAUAUAUAUAUAUAUAUAUAUAUAUAUAUAUAUAUAUAUAUAUAUAUAUAUAUAUAUAUAUAUAUAUAUAUAUGGUCCAACCCUUACAACACCAUCCUUCCAAAAGCAUAAAAUAAAACAUAUACCCUCGUGUAUAUCAACAACGCCUUUCUCCCGCACUCGCACCCCAUGGGCAAAGCUCGAUAUUGCAGUUGGAUAUCCAAAACGCCCUCACAGCCGGGGUAAAUCAUUCUCUGUGUGUGCUCAAUUCCUCAGAAAACAAUCAAAAAAUCAUACAUGAAUACAACUCUUUGCUCUUUUACGGAACGCAAAAGGAUUGUUUUGUUCUGGAUCCUAUAUGUGUAAUCUAUCUAUCUAAAUUAAUUAAAGAGAUCUCAUAAACUCCAACGGUUAAUCAGAAAUUAUGAAUUGUUCAUCUGGUGGGACCGAGUUUGGCACAAGGACCGUCGAAGGACCGGAAAAGGGGAGGGAAAUGGACGGAAACUAAAAUGAAGGCAGAGGACCAGUUGACAAAGAGAAGUGAAGACCCUGUCCUGAGCUACUCACUAAGUUUAGGCGGUUUCAAUAGUAGAUGCAGUUUCUUUUAUUACCAACCGCCUCCAAUACUUAUUGCAAGCGGUUAUGUUGUUCUAACCGCCUACGGUGUGAAUAUUACAGGCGACUUCGUUCUAUUUGAUCACAACCGCUUGUGGAGUCUACGUUGUGGGUGGAGUCUCCGUUGGUAGUUACAUCGGCCGAUGUGAUGUGUAUUGUCAUGUUCCAUGAUGAUAGUUUGUUGGGCGUGUUGUUAUGGUUUUUGCCCAAUUUUUCUAAAUUAGCUGGACAAUUUAUUUUUUUAAUUAAUGCAAGUAAAUGAUAAAUCUUUUGUCUUCCCCGCAAAAAAAAUAUAUCUUUUGUCUCGUUUAAUCUUUUGCCAAGCAACAAAGGUUUUGCACCGAACCAUUGGCGGAAUUGGCCUGAUUGCCGACGCGGCGAGCCGAGCUCUCCUACGCUGGUGGAAUUGGCUGAAAACUGGGAGCGCCCGCCCAAACAGAAACUUGGUGCACGCUGACAGACACUGCACUCACGCACAUGCUCCUACAUACUGUACGUGUUAUCCUACGGUGACAGACCUGCCAACCCCGAUGGAUCGAUCGAUGCCUCCUCUUAUCCUCUGCAGAGUGCAGUGGAGCGCCCGCCCUUCACGUGCUCUGUUUUCUAGGAGUAGUAGUAUAUGACCAACGACAACGAGCCGCCGCCACCUGUGCUCUGCGGCAGCGCCGGCCAUCCCGCCCGCCCGCCGCUCGUCUCAAAACCACGGUCUCGCUUCCCACCGUAUCAAAUCGCCUUUCUUCCCGCCCGCUGGUUGCGCGGUUUCCUGCAACCUAUAAAUCCAGUCGGAGAACCUCACCUGUCCAUCCAUCUCAUCUCAUCCAACUCACACUACUACUGAUCUCAGCUAGCCUAGGAGUACUCGAGUUUACUACCAGUUCAAUUCCUUCGGUACGAGGCUCUCUCCGGCGAAGAUGUCUACGGUGACCCGCGCCUACCUCGACCAGAGGCUCGCCGCCGCCAAGCGCUGCUCCAGAGGUAACCAAAACGAUAUGAUGUCGCGCCGGUCCUCAAGGGCACAUUGCAGCUUUCUCUACUGUCUCUGCUGAAACUUGAUCGUAACUAAAAUGUCUCUUUUGCUCCGGAACUGCAGAGGCUGCCAUGGCGGGAGCAAAGGCCGCGGCCGUCGCCACCGUCGCUGCCGCAGUGCCCACAGUAAGUAGCCGUUCAGUUCUUCAGUUCAGAGUUCAUAGCACAUAUCUCAUGAAUGCGUUACCUGUAAUUUCAGCUGGCGAGCGUGAGGAUGCUGCCGUGGGCCAAGGCGCACCUGAACCCGACCGGGCAGGCGCUCAUCAUCUCCACCGUGGCCGGGAUGGCCUACUUCAUCGUCGCCGACAAGACCAUCCUGUCCAUGGCCAGAAAGCACUCCUUCGACGACGCGCCAGACCACCUCAAGAACACCUCCUUCCACUAAUUAGACACUUGAUUAGCCAUGGCCCAAUAAACUGUGUACGCAGGCCCGUGGCAACGUGUCGGCUGAAACAUAGUAGUAUAAUGUUCAGCGACAGGGCCAGCAGGCGAGGCGACGAUGGUUGCAGUGCUGAAAGGUGGUGUUCAGCCCUUCAAUUUGUGCGAGCAAGCACUUAUUAUCUGAUGAUGUAUGUAUGUAAUAAUGUGGCCAUGUUCUCCAUCUUAGUAUCUUCCCGGAGAUCUUGAAUUAAUAACAACUACUAGUUCUAAUAAUGUGUACAGACGUCAGUGCAAUGCAAAAGACCGAUAACAGUGACCCCCUACUCCUGCCAUGCUCUGUUCUGAAUCCGAGAUGGCUAUUUUUUUCAUUUUGAGGACAGCCGAACCCAUCCAUAAAGCAUACUAGUUGAUUCAAGCCAUUUUGAGGACAGCCGAACAAAACGGGCCUUAAAGCAUGUAGAAACUAGGUUACGUACUGCUAAAAUAACUACUCCCUCCGUCUCAUAAUAUAAAAACAUUUUUUUAGAGAAAAGUCAUAUAUCCGACUUUAUAAAUAAAGUCAUAAGGCAGGUAUGAAUAAGAACGCAGGAGAGUAUCAAACACGCCAAGCCACAGAGAGGGCAGAAAGACCCCCUACUCCUACACGCGUCAGUGCAUUGCAAAAGACCCCCUACUCCUGCCGUGCUCUGUUCUGAAUCCGAAAUGCACGUGAGCAUCAUGCCACCUCACACGUUGAAUCUUCUGGUAUGGUUUUUAAUGGAUGGGUUGGCAAAUAAGGAUGUUUCUGAAAAUGAAAAAAUUAGCUAUUUUGGGACAAGCUUUCUGUACUGGUGGUGUACCCCGUGGGUAGGUUUGAGGUGUUUGUCCCCAGAGACCGGGGCACCUCGGCAUUUUUCUUGGUCGCAAGUCAGAUAAAAUGUAUUCAUACCGCAUCCGCGUGUAAGUGUGCAUUGUAAUUUGUAAAUACUCUCUCUCUCUCUCUCUGGUCCUUUGUACUUUGCAAAUAAGAUUUUUUUCGAAGUACAACAUCGUAAAGCUUGACCACUUUUAUAGAAAAAAAUAUAAAUAUUGAAGAUACAAUGGGUUGUGGAUUUAAUUUUUAUAUUGUAUAACUUCAAUAUUGCAGAUGUUCCUCACAAAAAGAAAUUGUAGAUGUUAAUAUUUUGUCAUAUACAUUUGGUCAAAGUCGCCGAGCUAACUGUUCGCCGAUUUGAUCUUGUGGAUGGCCCACCCUCUCUAGAUCCGCCACCUCCGCCAGCUCCGGCAACUCUUCGUACGGGUUAGUUGGAAAAGUAUGUAUAAACACAUGGCGAGAACGGCGGUGCCUCCGGCUAUCGGAUCGUGGUAACCGAGGCUGAGCGCGCGGUAUGGCAACAUGCGAGGUAUGACCGACGCAGUGCCAGUCGCCGCUGUAAGGGCAUACUUAUCCCCAAGAUGUUUUGGUGAUUGAUGACAAUGCUUGUGCGGACUAAUAACGUGCGUUAAGUUCUUUCAGAGUUUCUUCCUUUGGCACGAGACGAUUUUCUCCCCUCGGUGUUUUAUUCAAGACGGUGUAGCUCCUUCAUUUCAUUGUUGGUGGACUAGUCCCGUAGGAGUCACCGUACUAUCAAGAGGGGAUCCGCUUUGGUAAGACUAGGGUGGAAUCAACCCGUACACAUCCAUAUCACACCCGGCGUUUUCUUUCCGCUUCAUUGGAGCUGCCGUUUUCCCCUUAGUAUGCUUUGCUCUGCCCCAGCGGUAGUACCGCGACCCACAACGGUAGUACCGCCGAAGCUCCCCAGCGGUAGUACCGCUCUCAGAGCGGUAGUACCGCUCCAAGCGGUAGUACCGCUCUCCGAACGGUAGUACCGCUUGGGUCUUCGGCCAUAGUACCGCUGUGCUUCCGGGCUACUGCUGCCUCGAUUCGAGAACGAUGUUUUUCGUGUCGGGUUUUGCGGUACUAAGGGCGGUAGUUGUGGCGGUAGUACCGCUCCAAGCGGUAGUACCGCGCCUACCCCCACGGUAGUACCGCCCUGGGGUCAGGGCCCUGUCAGCGCGGUAGUACUGCUGGGUUGAGCGGUAGUACCGCCCGGAGCGGUAGUACCGCCCUUCCCUAGCGGUAGUACCGCUCUGUGCGGGGCUGCUCGUGGGAUAACGGUUGGAUUGAUCCCCCCACUAUAUAAAGGGGUCUUCUUCCCAAAGUUUACCUACCUCUAGCCCCCAAAGCUCCAUUGUUGCUCCAAGCUCCAUUUUCGCCCGAUCUCUCUCCCUAGCCAAUCAAACUUGUUGAUUUGCUCGGGAUUGGUUGAGAAGGCCCAGAUCUACACUUCCACCAAGAGAAAUUUGAUUCCCCCCACUUAUCCCUAGCGGAUCUUGUUACUCUUGGGUGUUGAGCACCCUAGACGGUUGAGGUCACCUCGAAGCCAUAUUCCAUUGUGGUGAAGCUUCGUGGUGUUGUUGGGAGCCUCCAAGUGUUGUGGAGAUAGCCCCAAUCUUGUUUGUAAAGGUCCGGCUGCCGCCUUCAAGGGCUCCAAUAGUGGAAUCACGGCAUCUCGCAUUGUGUGAGGGCGUGAGGAGAUUACGGUGGCCCUAGUGGCUUCUUGGGGAGCAUUGUGCCUCCACACCGCUCUAACGGAGACGUACUUCCCCUUAAAAGGAAGGAACUUUGGUAACACAUCCUCGUCUCCACCGGCUCCACUCUUGGUUAUCUUGUCCCUUUACUUUUGCAAGCUUACUUGAGUUGUAUCUAUUGCUUGCUUGUGUGCUUUUUGUCUUUGCAUCAUAUAGGUUGUCCACGUAGUUGCACAUCUAGACAACUUAUUUCAUUGCAAGGUUUAAAUUGUUAAAGAAAAGUCUAAAAAUUGUUAGUUGCCUAUUCACCCCCCCCUCUAGUCAACCAUAUCGAUCCUUUCAAUUGGUAUCCGAGCCUCGUCUCUUUAUUAAGGACUUUGCCAUCCGAAGAGUAUGGUUGACACCCACGACGGUGCGGAGGAGCACUCCGGUGUGAAUCCCAUCUCGUCCACGGCCGAAGGGGGAGCCUCGGUCUCACGUGAGGAAUUCAAUGUGGCUUUAGACACAUUGAAAACCUCCAUGACGGCCGAGGUUAAAAGCAUGUUUUCUGAAUUCCUAGACGGACUUAAACUAUCUACCUCGCCGAUGAAAGUGGGUGACCCCACUAACAAGGUGACGGAUGCUACCUCCGACAAGGGGGAAGCUAACAGUGAAAAGAGUCCGUCUACUAGUGGGAGAAAUGGCACCGGCAUCUUUGCCAAUGUGGAACCCCCAGUGUAUAGUGGACCGAUCCCCUCUACUCAUUUGAAUCAUGCCGGUCCUCCUCCUAAAUAUGUGAAAAAUGAAGAUUUUGACUCUUGGGUUUAUCGCUUCAAGCGUCACUUAAAACAUGUGAACACUAACCUUUGGAGAAUUAUUGAAGAAGGUUUCUAUCCUCAUGAUCCAAGCAACUUCACCCCUCAAGAAUAAGUGGACAAUCAAUUCAAUGAGAGUGCUCUCUUCAUCAUCCAAGAUGCAAUCCUUCCCGAAGAUCUCCCUCAUCUUCGACCUCAUGUCAUGGCUAAAGAAGCAUGGAAAUGUGUUGAGUCUCUCUAUCGAGGAAGUGCUAGCAUUCAACGCUCCAACUAUGAAGUGGUGCAAGAUGAAGUCGAUGAGUUUGCAAUGAAAGAGGAUGAAGAACCUCGUGAGCUCUUUCAAAGAGUGACCAAACUCGCGGUCGCACUCCGAGAUCAUGGGAGCAAGGACACGGAUGACAACUGGAUCAAGCGCAAGUUCCUCAAGGCCAUGAUGCCCUACAACAAGGCCAUGUCCUCCGUCAUUCGCCAAAGACCGGACUUCCACUCCAUGACCUCAGGUGAAGUGUUGGAUGAGUUUGUUGCAAUGAGCAUCUUGGACAAGACCGCCGACAAUGCGGUGCUCCGUUCUCAAAGGGCAAAGAAGCCCAAUCUUGCCUUGAAGGCCAAGGUUAGUGUGGAAGAAGAAGAAGAAGAAGAGAAAGAUGAGGAGAGCAACCCCGAGGACACGAAGUAUGAUUAUCAUGAGCACAUGGCUCUUGCCUCAAGACAAUUUUGGAGUAAGAAGAAUACAAGACCCAACUUCAACAAGAACAACUCAAGUGGCCUCAAGGGCAAGCAACGAGUUAGAACUUGUUUCAACUGUGGCAAUGUUAGCCAUUUCGUUGCGGAUUGUCCUUACGAGAAGCGGGAAGACAAUGGUGGCAUGUUCAUCCGAAAAGACAAAGCCAAGUCCUUCCCCAACAAGAACAACUUCACCAAGAAGACUCCUACUCGCGGGUUGGUGGUUCAAGAAGAAUACCGUGAGGAUGACGAUGAUGAUGAAGAUGGUGAAACAAUGGCCAUGGCAUCCGUUGCCAUUGUCACAACUCCCCGGGUGUCUCUCUUCGAUGCACCUAACAAGAACAUCACCGCCAAGUGCCUCAUGGCUAAGGCACCAACAAGGUAACCCCCAAUAUCAAAACCACCAUUAUUCCUAAUCCUCCUUCAACGGAUGACUUUGAUAAUGGUAAGAGGUCUAAUGAGGAGAUUAAUGAAUUUGAGUCCUUCAUGAGUAAGCUCAAGGGCAAAUCCAAGAAGCACUUUGUUGCUCUCUUGGAACAACUUGGUGAAGCCAAUGACAUGAUAGAGGCUCACGAAGAAACCAUCUCUAAGAUGGAAGGUCAUAGUCGUGAUUACGCCGAUGAGAUAUCGGAUCUAUCUAAUGAUCUUGCUAAAGAGCGUGGGCAUCGUUUGGCUCUUGAGGAGUCACACAACAAUGACCAUGCCAAAUUAAAGAAAGAUCUUGAUCAUGCUCUUGUUGUGUCUCGUGUUCUAACUUCCGAGAAGGCUAAACUUGGGGUUGAUCAUGCUAGACUCAAGGAGGAGUUUGAUGUACUUGACAAGGCCCAUAAGGUCUUGAAAGGUGCUCAUGCAAACCUCAAGGAGUCUCAUGCUCAACUCCAAGUUAAGCUUACCAAGGAAAAGGCCACAUUUCCUCACAUGGUCUUAAUUGAUAAUGCAAAUGCUACUAACCCAUGUUGUGAGCAUGUGCAUCUUGUGGAGGAGAAUUCCAAGUUGAAGGAACAACUCGAGAAAGGUCUUGUGUCAUGCAUACAAGGCGAGAAGAACCUAAAUGACCUUUUGAGCAAUCAAAAGGAAGUUGUGGGCAAGGAGGGAGUUGGGUUCACGCCCAAGUCCAAGAACAAGAAGAAGAACAAGGAGAAGAAUAACAAGACCAAUCGACCUCCCUCGCUCAAGCAAACUUUUGUGAAGGAGGGAGAGGGUGCUCCUAAGAAGAAGAAUGACAAUGCGAGGAGUGGUGAUGCCAAAGAGAGCAAAGCCAUCUCUCCCAACAAAGCCGGCGACUUUAACCCUUCUUAUGUGUUGUGUCGUGCUAGCGAUGGGCAUGUUUAUGCUAAAUUUGUUGGUUCUUCUUAUGAGUACAUUGAAUGGUCUAUUUGGGUUCCUAAGACCCUUGUUACUAACAUCAAAGGACCCAUUACUCAAUGGGUACCUAAAAUCAAGCAUUGAUAUCUUGUAGGUGUUUGCUUCCGGUGGGGGAUCAUGGUUGCUCGAUAGUGGAGCAACAAAUCAUAUGAACGGGAGCAAGGACUUGGUGGUGGAUGUGCACAAGAUCCCAUCUAUGCCCACCAAUGUUGAAUGGGGUGAUGCCUCACAUUCUAAGGUAUUGGGUCUUGGCAAGGUUGUCAUUUCUCAUGAUCUAACGAUCGAGAAAGUCAUGCUUGUUGAGUCCCUUGCGUUCAAUUUACUUUCCGUUCGUCAACUCGCACUCAUGGGCUUUGCCACCUUCUUUGAUAUUGAUACCGUGGCCCUCUUGUGGAGCAAGACUCUUAAAGUAGCCUUUGUUGGGCAUGUCGAGAACGGUCUCUAUGUGAUUAACUUUUCGGAGCAACCCACUAAGACCACGACAUGCCUAAUGGCUAAAGUUGAUGUGGGAUGGCUUUGGCAUCGCCGUUUAGCCCACGUCAAUAUGAGAUCUUUGCAAAGUCUUCUCAAGGGGGACCAUGUUCAUGGACUAACGAAUGUUAGUUUUGCCAAAGAUCGUGUUUGCAGUGCUUGUAUCAAAGGAAAGCUUCAUGAGACGUCUCACCCUCCCACGACUAUCAUCUACUCGAAGAGACCCUUGGAGCUCCUGCACAUGGACCUCUUCGGGCCUCCAUCCUUUGAUAGUCUUGGGGGUAGAAAGUAUUGCUUGGUGAUUGUGGAUGAUUAUUCAAGAUACACUUGGGUAUACUUCUUCAAGAGGAAGAGUGAGACUCAACAAACCGUCAUCGACUUUGCAAAUGAAGCUCAACGUCAACAUAAUGCGAAGAUCCUGGCAAUAAGAAGUGACAACGGCACCGAGUUCAAGAACUACACCUUGGAUGAGUUUCUUAGUGAUGAAGGGAUCAAGCAUCAAUAUUCUGCACCAUAUACCCCUCAACAAAAUGGUGUUGCGGAGAGGAAGAACCGGACGUUGAUGGAUGCGGCAAGGACCAUGAUGGCGGAGUUCAAGUCUCCAUACAACUUUUGGGCCGAAGCCAUCAACACAGCAUGUCAUGCAUCCAAUCGGCUCUAUCUCCGCAAAGGCUUGAACAAGACUCCGUAUGAGAUACUCACCGGGAAUAAGCCCAAUCUCAAGUACUUCCGGGUGUUCGGGUGUAAGUGUUUCAUUCUCAAGAAAGGUGUCCGUUUGUCUAAAUUCGAGGCUAGAGCUCAUGAGGGCAUAUUUGUUGGUUAUGCUACAAACUCUCAUGCUUACCGUGUUCUCAACAAGUCCAACGGACUCAUCGAGGAGACGUGUAACGUAGAGUUUGACGAAAAUAACGGCUCCCAAGUGGAGCAAAGUGGUACUUGUGAUGUAGGUGAUGAAAUUCCUCCCCAAGCCAUAAGAAGAAUGGGUAUUGGUCAUAUCUUACCCAUUGAGAAACCCCUUGUAACCGAAGGAGAAGGACAAUGCUCCACCUCUGUGCAGCCUUCACCUACUCAAGACCCACACACUUCCGAAGAACAAAGUGAAGGCCCUCAACCUCGGGAACAAGACCAAGGGCAAGAUCAAUCUCAAGAUGGUGGUGAACCUUCACAUGAUGCACAAGGUCAAGUUCUCCCCCUCGAGCAAGUUCAAGAUCAUGAGCAAGCUCAAGAUCAAGAACAAGCUCAUGACGACGCUCAAGAUGAUCAAGUGAACCCUCCUCCUUCGACAUCCGAGGAGGAAUUGGAGCGUCGUGCCGUGAAGAUUGCUUCCAAACUCACCACCAAAGGUCAUCUCAUGGAGAAUGUGGUUGGAAGCCUAAGAAAGGGGGUCUAUGAGGCGCUCGAAGACUCGGAUUGGCUCGAUGCCAUGCAUGAAGAACUCAACAACUUCGAGUACAACAAGGUGUGGAGGUUGGUGCCAAGGCCUUCCGGGAACCAUAACAUCAUUGGAACCAAGUGGAUCUUCAAGAACAAGCAAGAUGCUCAUGGGAACAUAAUUCGCAACAAGGCAAGAUUGGUAGCACAAGGCUACUCCAAGUCGAGGGUAUCGACUACGGUGAAACCUUUGCUCCCGUUGCUCGCCUUGAAUCCAUCUGUUUGUUGAUUGCUUAUGCUUCCCAUCACAACUUUAAGUUGCAACAAAUGGAUGUGAAAAGUGCUUUUCUUAAUGGUCCUAUUAAUGAGUUGGUCUAUGUCAAGCAACCCCCCGGGUUCGAGGAUCCCUUCUUUCCGGAUCAUGUAUAUCAACUCGAUAAGGCACUCUAUGGCCUUAAACAAGCCCCACGUGUGUGGUAUGACCACCUUACCGAGUUGUUACAAGAUCGUGGAUUUGAAGUUGGGCUAAUCGAUCCCACUCUUUUUACUAAGAAGGUCAAAGGGGAGUUGUUUGUAUGCCAACUAUAUGUUGAUGACAUUAUCUUUGGUUCCCCUAACAAAGCUUUCAAUGAAGAAUUUGCCGCUCUCAUGACCUCUAAGUUCAAGAUGUCUUCAAUGGGAGAGUUGAAGUUCUUCCUUGGUUUUGAUAUCAAACAAAGAAGAGAAGGUACCUUCAUCAACCAAGCCAAAUACACUCAAGACAUGCUCAAGAGAUUCAAGCUAAAUGAUGUCAAGCCGGCCUCUACUCCAAUGCCCACCAAGUGACAACUUGACAUUGAUCCCAAUGGUAAAGCGGUGGAUCAAAAGGUAUAUCUCUCCAUGAUUGGCUCCUUGCUUUACCUUUGUGCAUCUAGACCGGAUAUCAUGUUCAGUGUGGGGAUGUGUGCACGGUUUCAAGCUGCACCGAAGGAAAGUCACUAUGUGGCGGUCAAGCGAAUCUUUCGAUAUUUGGCUCAUACCCCAAACUUUGGCUUAUGGUACCCAAGAGGGGCAAACUUCAAGCUUGAAGGAUUUACGGAUUCUGAUUGGGCGGGAGUCAAAGUGGAUAGGAAGUCCACUUCCGGAGGGUGCCAGUUUCUUGGGUGCUCUUUGGUGAGUUGGUCUUCCAAAAAGCAAAGUUGUGUAUCUCUCUCGUCCACCGAAGCUGAAUAUGUGGCGGCCAGUAGUUGUUGUGCACAACUCUUAUGGAUGAGGCAAACUUUAAAGGAAUACGGUGUCAUUUGUGACAAAGUGCCUCUUUGGUGUGACAACGAAAGUGCCAUCAAGAUUUCUCUCAACCCGGUGCAACACUUCAAGACGAAGCAUAUUGAGAUUCGGUAUCAUUUCAUCCAGGAUCACAUUAGGCGAGGAGAGAUCGAGCUCAAGUAUGUCAACACUCAUGAUAACCUUGCAGAUAUUUUCACGAAGCCCUUGGAUGAAGUAAGAUUUUGCGAGUUAAGGCAUGAGCUAAAUAUCAUUGAUUCGAGCAAUGUGACUUGAACCCUUGCACACCCCACCCACUCAACUUGGUGUCUAGCUUAGAUGUAGGCAUGGACAUAGGGGGAGUGUUGUUAUCUCAAUGAACUCUCCCUCCCCCCAUUAUGCAUAAAUCGAUCAACCCUUUCACAUUAGCCAUUUUUUAUGGUACUUGUGCUUCAAAGACGAGUGUUGGUCAUGGGCCCAAGGAUAAUUCUUCGUGGUGCCAUACCAAUUGACUCAAACAUAGGUGGCUCCGGCCACCGUCCUCUCCUGAGAGAGGCCAGAGUUCGCUCUGGUUCGUGUGUUUGUUUUUGUUUGAGUAGUUUCUGGUCCGUUGUUUGUGUGUGUGCUUCCUGGUUGGUCUUCUCUUUCUCUUGCCCUUGCUUUUGUUUUUUUGGAGCGUUAGCCGUAGGUUUAGGAGCAGUGUGGUUGCUGAAGCGGUACUACCGCUGGUGGCGAGUGGUACUACCACUCCUAGCGGUACUACCGCCCUCCAGCGCAGUACUACUGCCGUGAGGCGCGGGCCGGGGGUUAUAUCGGGGGCAGGGGGAGUUUUCUUCUCCCCCAUACCCAUUCGCUCGCCCCCUCGCUUUGUUCCUCUCUCCUCAGCAACCGGCGCCACGGGAGGGCUCCGACGGAUCUCCCUCUCUGGGGCGCUCCUCUCCAUUUCCUUCGGUGGAGUCAAUCCCCACCGUUUCCUCUUGCCAUGGAUGCCGGUAUUGCCCCCGUUCUCUUUUUUCUUUUGUCUAGAUUUCCAAUCUAGCUUCUUAGGGGCAAUAGUAGUUGCAUCUCUAGAUUUUUGGCCAGAUCUAGGCUUGAGUAGGAUGGAGAUUGCUUCUAGACAAUUUGGAUUAGUGUUUGGUUGGAGUAUUUUUUGAAUUUGGUAGGACGGUAGUACCGGAUCUGACCACGGAAGUAGGAAACUGUUGUUUCCCCGCCUCGAGCGGUACUACCACUUUCUCCAGAGCUGUACUACCGCUCUCCGAACGGUAGUACCGCUUGGGGUCUUCGGCCGUAGUACCGCUGUGCUUCCGGGCUACUGCCGCCUCGAUUCGAGAACGAUAUUUUUCGUGUCGGGUUUUGCGGUACUAAGGGCGGUAGUUGUGGCGGUAGUACCGCUCCAAGAGGUAGUACCGCGCCUACCCCCACGGUAGUACCGCCCUGGGGUCAGGGCCCUGUCAGCGCAGCAGUACCGCCCUUCCCUAGCGGUAGUACUGCUCUGUGCGGGGCUGCUCAGUAGGAUAACGGUUGGAUUGAUCCCCCCACUAUAUAGAGGGGUCUUCUUCCCCAAAGUUGACCUACCUCUAGCCCCCAAAUCUCCAUUGUUGCUCCAAGCUCCAUUUUCGCCCGAUCUCUCUCCCUAGCCAAUCAAACUUGUUGAUUUGCUCGGGAUUGGUUGAGAAGGCCCAGAUCUACACUUCCACCAAGAGAAAUUUGAUUCCCCACACUUAUCCCUAGCGGAUCUUGUUACUCUUGGGUGUUGAGCACCCUAGACGGUUGAGGUCACCUCGAAGCCAUACUCCAUUGUGGUGAAGCUUCAUGGUGUUGUUGGGAGCCUCCAAGUGUUGUGGAGAUAUCCCCAAUCUUGUUUGUAAAGGUCCGGUUGCCGCCUUCAAGGGCUCCGAUAGUGGAAUCACGGCAUCUCGCAUUGUGUGAGGGCGUGAGGAGAUUACGGUGUCCCUAGUGGCUUCUUGGGGAGCAUUGUGCCUCCACACCGCUCUAACGGAGGCGUACUUCCCCUUAAAAGGAAGGAACUUCGGUAACACAUCCUCGUCUCCACCGGCUCCACUCUUGGUUAUCUUGUCCCUUUACUUUUGCAAGCUUACUUGAGUUGUAUCUAUUGCUUGCUUGUGUGCUUUUUGUCUUUGCAUCAUAUAGGUUGUCCACGUAGUUGCACAUCUAGAUAACCUAUUUCAUUGCAAGGUUUAAAUUGUUAAAUAAAAGUCUAAAAAUUGUUAGUUGCCUAUUCACCCCCCCCCUCUAGUCAACCAUAUCGAUCCUUUCAAUUGGUAUCCGAGCCUCGUCUCUUUAUUAAGGACUUUGUUGUCCGAAGAGUAUGGUUGACACCCACGACGGUGCGGAGGAGCACUCCGGUGUGAAUCUCAUCUCGUCCACGGCCGAAGGGGGAGCCUCGGUCUCACGUGAGGAAUUCAAUGUGGCUUUAGACACAUUGAAAACCUCCAUGACGGCCGAGGUUAAAAGCAUGUUUUCUAAAUUCCUAGACGGACUUAAACUAUCUACCUCGCCGAUGAAAGUGGGUGACCCCACUAACAAGGUGACGGAUGCUACCUCCGACAAGGGGGAAGCUAACAGUGAAAAGAGUCCAUCUACUAGUGGUAGAAAUGGCACCGACAUCUUUGCCAAUGUGGAACCCCCAGUGUAUAGAGGACCGAUCCCCUCUACUCAUUUGAAUCAUGCCGGUCCUCCUCCUAAAUAUGUGAGAAAUGAAGAUUUUGACUCUUGGGUUUAUCGCUUCAAGCGUCACUUAAAACAUGUGAACACUAACCUUUGGAGAAUUAUUGAAGAAGGUUUCUAUCCUCAUGAUCCAAGCAACUUCACCCCUCGAGAAGAAGUGGACAAUCAAUUCAAUGAGAGUGCUCUCUUCAUCAUCCAAGAUGCAAUCCUUCCCGAAGAUCUCCCUCAUCUUUGACCUCAUGUCAUCGCUAAAGAAGCAUGGAAAUGUGUUGAGUCUCUCUAUCGAGGAAGUGCUAGCAUUCAACGCUCCAACUAUGAAGUGGUGCAAGAUGAAGCCGAUGAGUUUGCAAUGAAAGAGGAUGAAGAACCUCGUGAGCUCUUUCGAAGAGUGACCAAACUCGCGGUCGCACUCCGAGAUCAUGGGAGCAAGGACACGGAUGACAACUGGAUCAAGCGCAAGUUCCUCAAGGCCAUGAUGCCCUACAACAAGGCCAUGUCCUCUGUCAUUCGCCAAAGACCGGACUUCCACUCCAUGACCUCAGGUGAAGUGUUGGAUGAGUUUGUUGCAAUGAGCAUCUUGGACAAGACCGCCGACAAUGCGGUGCUCCGUUCUCAAAGGGCAAAGAAGCCCAAUCUUGCCUUGAAGGCCAAGCUUAGUGUGGAAGAAGAAGAAGAAGAGGAAGAUGAGGAGAGCAACCCCGAGGACACAAAGUAUGAUUAUCAUGAGCACAUGGCUCUUGCCUCAAGACAAUUUUGGAGUAAGAAGAAUACAAGACCCAACUUCAACAAGAACAACUCAAGUGGCCUCAAGGGCAAGCAACGAGUUAGAACUUGUUUCAACUGUGGCAAUGUUAGCCAUUUCGUUGCGGAUUGUCCUUAUGAGAAGCGGAAAGACAAUGGUGGCAAGUUCAUCCGAAAAGACAAAGCCAAGUCCUUCCCCAACAAGAACAACUUCACCAAGAAGACUCCUACUCGCGGGUUGGUGGUUCAAGAAGAAUACCGUGAGGAUGACGAUGAUGAUGAAUAUGGUGAAACAAUGGCCAUGGCAUCCGUUGCCAUUGUCACAACUCCCCGGGUGUCUCUCUUCGAUGCACCUAACGAGAACAUCACCGCCAAGUGCCUCAUGGCUAAGGCCACCAACAAGGUAACCCCCAAUAUCAAAACCACCAUUAUUCCUAAUCCUCCUUCAACGGAUGACUUUGAUAAUGGUAAGAGGUCUAAUGAGGAGAUUAAUGAAUUUGAAUCCUUCAUGAGUAAGCUCAAGGGCAAAUCCAAGAAGCACUUUGUUGCUCUGUUGGAACAACUUGGUGAAGCCAAUGACAUGAUAGAGGCUCACGAAGAAACCAUCUCUAAGAUGGAAGGUCAUAGUCGUGAUUACGCCGAUGAGAUAUCGGAUCUAUCUAAUGAUCUUGCUAAAGAGCGUGGGCAUCGUUUGGCUCUUGAGGAGUCACACAACGAUGACCAUGCCAAAUUAAAGAAAGAUCUUGAUCAUGCUCUUGUUGUGUCUCGUGUUCUAACUUCCGAGAAGGCUAAACUUCCAGAAGCCCCCCUCAUCCGCUUCCAGAAGCCCCCCUCCCCCCCUAGCCCCCGUCCGCAUCUGGCCAGCCUCUGCUCCCCCCGUCGGCGGCAACCCUAGCUAGCCACCUAGCCACCGCACGAUGGGCUUCUGCUCCGGCAAGGGCAAGACCCCCUCCCCCAACCCCUCUCCCCCGCCUCCCCGUCCCCCGCCGACCGAGGCAACGCGUGAAUGUGCUAGUGCAUCAGGCGGAGUGGCACUGGCAGCACCACGUCCCUCUCGCCUACCCCAACGUCACCCUGUCGUAUGACUGGCACUCGGAUCCGCACUUGGAUCCGAAGAGGAUCCUAGUGUCGGCGGCGCCGUGGUCGGCAAGGGCGCACGCGGAGGAGAGGCAGCGCCAGCGGGCGUUGCUGACGCCGGAGCAGCGAGCGACUCCGCCUACGACACCGACUCGCCUUAUUGGGCGCGUUGGUUCGCCUUCGAGCACGAGGAGGCGAGACGGCGCGGCGUCCGCAAAGUCUCCUGUAGCUCUCGCCCGCCGUCCAUCGUCGUUCGCGGCGAGGACCAGGAGGCGGAGGCCGCCUACCAGGCGGCCAUGGCGGCUAUCCUUCGGAAGAGUGAGGAGGAGGAGCGACGCAGGGAGGCGGAGGAGGAGGCGGCAUACGAGGCAUGCAUGGCGGAUGCCAUGGCGUUGUCCGUGUGCGGCGACUGCGUCGUGCUGCCGCUGGCGCCGCCGUCCCUAGAGUAGCACGUGAGUGGGUGGGCGCCCCGCCGAUUUGGAUGGGGGCGACGGAGGCGCAUGAUGCGGCCUACCUCGAGCAAUGACGCCAGUGACGGCUGACCGAGGAGCGCUGCGACGGCGAAUACCUCGAACAACUCGAGCGCGACGCCGAGGAGGAGCAGCGUGGGGCGAAGGAUCCUCCACGCUAGGCCCAGGGCGCGGCGGAACAGGGCGGGGCGCCCCAGCCCACGGCGUCCGACAUCGCCACUGCCUGAAACACGGCGUUCCCCUGGGCCGGGCCUGCGCCGACGCUGAUCGACCUCACCGGCCCCGACGUUGACAACGAGGACGCCAAAGGGCAACGCGCCACCUCGUAGUUUACUUUUUUUAAUGUUUAAUUAAUGUAAGUGUGGACUCUCGUCAGUCUUCGUGGCCGGCUUUAACGUUUAAUUAAUGUUUGUUUUUAUUUUUGAAAUACUUGUGUGUUUUUAAUUUUCUUUUUCGUUUCUUUUAUCUUACAAGAAGGACAAAUGCCUCGUGUAGCAAAAUUAUCUACUCCCUCCGUAGUAUCUAUCAGCACUGUUGUGCCUAACUUUAGAUGGAUCGAGAUCUCCCUUUUCUUGCUAGCUUUAGUUUGGUGGGUACAGAAAGAAAGACGAGGGAGGGAGCAACGGAGGAAUGCCCUGCAACAAACAAACAUCAUCCAAACCACAGUUUUGGAUGCCGCUUCCGGAAAGCGUGCUCUGCCCACCAACUCAGUUCAACACUCCAAGUCCAAACGAGCGGAGCAUCCGCGGUUUGCACCCAAAACCGUGCGUGGCCGCCACCUUUUUGCCCGCUACAAAUACACGGCUCAACUCCACGUCCUGGAAACAUCAAGCAACAGACAGCCAGCCAGCCCAUCUCAUCUCAUCUCGCUCGAUCGCACUCCUUGUGCUGAGCCGUUUCAGCACAAGACCACGGCGAAGAUGUCGUCGACGGCCACCGUCACCCGCGCCCACCUCGAGAACAAGCUCGCCCUCGCCAAACGCUGCUCCAGAGGUACGUAGCAACCAGUAGGAUCCACUUCUUCAGAGUUCAGUUCAGCCAAGUUGUGUAACCAUAGUCUGACACUAGCAAUGCAUUUCUUUUCCUAAUGUUUCCCAGAGGCGACGCUCGCCGGAGCAAAGGCUGCAGCCGUCGCCACCGUCGCGUCUGCGGUCCCAACGGUGAGCUCCUCCGUCUGGGAUUUGUUGAUUUUCAUGCAAGUUGGACUCUGGUUUUCAUAACUGAACUGUUAAUCGUACGUGCAGCUGGCGAGCGUGAGGAUGCUGCCGUGGGCCAAGGCGAACCUGAACCCCACCGGCCAGGCCCUCAUUGUCUGCACCGUCGCCGGGAUGGCAUACUUCGUCGCCGCCGACAAGACCAUCCUCUCGCUGGCGAGGAGGCACUCGUACGAGAGCGCCCCCGACCACCUCAAGGACACCUCCUUCGCUGGCGCUGCCGCCGCUCGUCCCCGUCCACCGGCAUUCUUCAGGCCUUGAGCUACUGUCCUGCUAAAGUAUGAUACGCACGCUUGCCGUUGUGCGUAUUCUAGAAAAAACGCAUGCACCGUUGUCUGUCAGUGUCCCAAGAAACUGCUGCGGCAUGAAUAUCUGCCGCCGAAAUGUAUGCACAUGCUUUACAUCUGUGAUCUGUGUACUGGAUAAAACUGAGGGCUCGAUCCUGGUUUCAGAUAAGCGAUGUACGACAGGCUUCAGAUUUCGACGAAGAAGAUGGGUCACAGGGUUAGCCGUGAGGCCGUGACUCUCACAGGAGAGAAUUCAGGCGCCCCGACACGUUAAGAUCCUAAAAUGUUGGUCGUUUGUUUACACUAGAGGUACAUAAACCUGCGAGGUAACUUGAAACAAAUCCAAACAACUAGCCCAUGAACUUGAGAUCCGAGUUCAAUUUGGUCCAAAAUCACCUAGGCGCGACCACGUUGAGCUUUUUUUUUCGGCUGUCCAUAAAGUGGGGCAGAUUGCCGGCCAUAGAGAGAAAAAUUCAAAAUAUUUAUGGAAGAUACUUCACAUAAUAAAUACUAAGUCAACAAAAUUAUUUUGUACUACCAAUAAAUGGCGGAUCGUUCACUUUAGCUACAUCUCAGCUGACUGACUUUUACAUUUUGGGUCAGUCGAUUUUUUAACCGUUGAUUGCUGCUCCAAGAUGCGUGCUAGUUGUUUUUUUAUCCUGUUGUGUGUGCUGUCCUGUAUUGGGCUGGAUGUUUUUUGAUUGACCCCUAUUUUGAGUAAGUCGAUUUCUUGUUGGGCUGAAGCCCGUUACGUGUUUUCUUAUUAGGUUGCUUAUGUGUGUAUUUGCUUCUGUUUUUUCUGUCGGUUUUUAUGGGUAUAUUUUGGGUGUUGGGUGAAUACAAAAUAUAUACACAUAAGUAAUUCAUAAUAUGUGUAUAAAUUGUAAUUCUAUGAAAAAUGCACAAUUAUGUGCGUAUUUCUUACAAUUGUAUUUUCUGUGAAAAUUCCACUACCAUAUGUAUAUUGUUGAAAGCACAAUGGUUUGUAUAUAUUGUGUGUAAAUUUUGUUAUUGUUUGGUUAUUUUGUAAUUUAUUUCUUCUCAAAGGGUAAUAUCAAUGCAACUAACUCAUUCUUACUUAGAAAACUUCAUUAUUUUGACUUUGUUGUAGUAAUUAUUUCAUAUUUUUUUCUGAAGGGUAAUGCCAAAAUCAGUAAUUCAUUUUUUUUACAAAACAUAGUUAUUUUGUUUUUGAUUUAGUGUUUGUUUCAUUUUCUUUUUUUAAUGCUAAUCCCAAUGUCACUAGUUCAUUCCUUCUUAAGAAAUUUUCUUUUUGUGAGAAUUCUAAUACUAUAUACUUAUUCUGGCAUAUUAUUAAAAAGUGCAAUUUCUCCGUAAAUGGUGUGCAAAUUUCUCAUUUUAAACUUUUGUUUUCUUUGUUUAUGCAUUUUUUUCUUCUUUUCUUUCUUCUAUUGGUUUUUUUUUAUUUUUUUGUGGGUUUCUGGCUGAGUGUAAUUAUAUACAUAUAAAUACUAUAUAAUACUACCAAAAUUUCAUGAUUAUUUUAUUAUUUUUGUUUAGUACAAUAAAGUGCAAUUUUGAUGCAUAGUUAUGCACAAUUGUUUUUAUUUUCUUUCUUCUUAAAAAUGUAUUAUUUCAGUUACACUAUGUGUAAAUUAUAGUAGAAUGCGAAAAAUGCACUAUUAUAUGCUUAUUCUUUGCAUAUUUUAGAAAGUGCAAUACCACUACAAAUUGUGUGCAAGUUUUGAAAGUUUUUUUGUUUUUUUUUCUUUAUUGGUUAUAUUUUUGUUUGUUAUGGGCUGAGUGUAAUUAUAUACAUACAAAUAAUAUAUAAUGUGUGCCCAAAUUUCAUGAUUAUAUGAUUAUUUUUGCAUAUUACGAUAAAGUGCAACUUGAGUGUAAAGUUGUGCGCAAGUUUCUUUUAUUUUCUUUCUUCUUCAAUAAAUAGAUUAUUUCAGUUACGCUUUGUGUAAAUUAUAAUAGAAUGCGAAAAUUGCACUAUUAUAUGUUUAUCUUUGCAUAUUUGAAAAAGUGCAAUCUCAGUGCAAAUUGUGUGCAAGUUUUGAAAGUGUUUUGUACUUUCCUAGAAAAUUUCAUUAUUUUGAUAUCGUUUUGUUUUUUUGGGAAGAUUAUACCAAUGCUACAAAUUCGUUCUUCUAUUAGAAAACUUCAUUUUCUAAGUUUUUAUUUCAUUUUUAGUUUUCUUUUCAUUUCUUUUGUAAGGAUGCCGAUGUCACUAACCCAUUACUUUUUAGAAAACACUUUUUUUUGCGGAAACCUCACUAUAUUAUGCUCAAUUUUGCAUAGUAAUAAUACAUUUUCCAUGUAUGUGUAUGUAUAAAAAAUAUAUAUGUGAGAGUGUUAUUCAUCGGUGAGAUUGCACAUAUAUCAAAGUAAAUAUACAUGUGUGAGAUUGCACAUAUAACCACUAAUCAUUGCAUGCAAAUACUCCCUCCGUUCCAAAAUAGAUGACUCAACUUUAUACUAACUUUAGUAUAAAGUUGGGACAUCUUUUUUUUAAGACAACCUCGCAAAGCCUUUAUUGAUCCGUCACAAUGUUUACAAGAACGAAAGAAAGAUCUCCAGGAUGACCUAACCAGACAUGGCGGCCACCCCCGAGAGAUAAAGCAUGCUUCGCUACGUUGUGAGCCUCAAAGUUUGAGCUCCUAAAUUCGUGACCUAUUUUGCAAAACUAAAAACUAGCAGAAUGUUCUAUAAUUUCAUGUAUCACCGCACCAUAUGAAGCUGAAGUACCCCUCUGUAUAUCUUCUACCACCGUCUUGCAGUCGGAGCCCACAUGAAUUCUUUGAACGUAUAAGUCGUCCGCCAAGGCUAGUGCUUCCCUUAUAGCAAGGGAUUCGAGUGUUUGGGGAUCAUUGAUUUGCCGGAAACCCACGACCGAAGCUCCAAGAAACAGGCCGUUUUGGUCCCUGCACACAGCUGCUACCACACCAUACGUGCCUCCUGUCGACAGCGCUGCAUCCACAUUAACUUUGGCACAUCCUUGUACCGGAGGUUGCCAACAUUUUGGUCUCGGCAUAGACGUAGUAACAAGCCGUGGUGACCUCUUAUUGAUCUGCUGCAGCUCUGACAAGUAACUCAUGAUGAAGCCGUUCGUGGAAUAUGGAGACUGGAAAAUGUCCUCAUAGAUCGCCUUCCUCCUUGCACUCCAUAUCGCCCAUGCUGUAACCACCAGGCGAGUGAACUCUUCAGACCGAAGCAUAUCGUGAAGAGCAAACAGCCACUGCUUCGGGUUAUCAUGUUGGCAGCUUACCACCUUUUCAACAAAAUCAUCGGGAGCUAAAGCCCAGAUGCUCCUCGACAUCGAGAAAUUCAACAGCGCAUGUCUCCAAGUGUCUGUUGCUCCGCACAAGUGGCAUGUAUUUUCGUCGGCCAUGUUUCGGUGAUGAAGGACCUCACAUGUAGGCAUCGACUGCCUAGCUAGACGCCAAACGAACAUCCGCAGCUUCGAGGGUACCUGUAUGUGCCAGAUUGCACUCCACUGCUUACUUUCCUAUACAUUUGAAGUUCCUUGCUCCUCAUGAAGCCAUCCUUCCCUGCUUAUCUUUGUUCUCAGUAUCAUACGGUAAGCAGAACGCACCGUGAAAACUCCCCGUCUCUCUUCAUGCCAGGCCCAAAAAUCUAUUAUGUUCCUCGUGCACAGUGGUAUCUUGAGUAUCUCUGCAGCAUCAAAAGGAGUAAAGACAGACCGAACCAGAUCUUCUCUCCAUUGAGCCGAAGUAGCAUCAAUCAGGUCCGACACCCUCUCUGGCGGAUUAGGAACAAGUGAAGUGAUCGGCCUUUUGAAGUUAUCACGUGGAAUCCAGUUAUGCUGCUAGAUAUAUGUCGAAGCCCCAUUACCAAUUCUCCGGACUACUCCUUGUGCAACGAUGUCCCUCCCAUCAAGCACUACCCACCAUAUCUGCGAGGGGUGGGAUCCCAACUCAGCUUCCAGGAGUGAGCAUUGUGAGAAAUAUACAACCUUAAGCACCUUUGCACUAAGCGAGGUCUCGUCGGUCAUCAGCCACAAUGUCACUAAUUGUCAAGCUGCCAGCGGGCAGGCGAUCGGUGUGACACCCAUGCCGAAUCUUCAAUAACUUUAUGGAGCUGCUGGGUGGCACCAACCUACGCAAAGUAGCAUAGCAUGACCACGCUAUUCGCAACACAAAAGGAGAAUCACAAAACAACACAAGACAAUGGUUGAUUUCUUUACCCAAUGGGAGAAAUGACACCUUCACCAGGCUCCAGGGCCGCCGUACCAUGCCGCCGAGAUCCGGGCGAAUGGAGGCCGUGGAAGCAACAAGGCGGUGACAGAUCAGUGGGAGGACAAGACUCGAGGUGGUGGUGAAAAGGAGGGUCUAACAACCAAAAUUUAGGGACGUGUCAGUAUAGAGCACUGCAGGUGAGCCCGCAGUGGAGAAAGACACGAAUUAGAGGGGCAAAAUGGGAAUUGUGGCCCCAAUGGCGGGCCCCCACAUUGACGGACACUCAAAGGGUCUUGUCGCCAAUAUUGGUGGGCCCAUGUCGGAGUGGAAAUGGAAAUUAUGGUGCAAUAUUUGACCCGCACAUCACCCGAAAGGGUUAAUCGAGUCUUUUCGUGGCUGCAGUUGAUGUGGUGAAGUGAUGGGUCCAAAAUGGAAUGAAACAACGCAAAGUUGAUGGCAACCGAUGGAGAUUACAUGCAGUUUCAUACACCAAUUUUUUUCACAAUCGUUAGUGCCCGGACCGAAAUAUGGAAAAUUGAGUGGCAGGACUCGAAUAUACAACAUUGGCAGUGGCACAAACCGAUUCUUCCCAAAAGUAUAAUAUGAACUUUUUUUCAUGAUGGGUUUGGGGAUAUUGAUCGCUAUCAUACAUGUUAAUAUUUCCUUCCUAUAAACUAGAACAAAGUGUAAUCAAUCAAAAAUAAUAUGCACUCUAUUAUGAAAUUAGGGGAGUAAGCCCUAUCUAUAAGACAACAUGACCGUGGCUAUUGAUGAUUUCUCGGUAGACUAGUAAUGAAAUUUCAUAGGAUUUAAUCCCUCUGUUCCUAAAUAUAAUAUUUUUAGAGAUUUUAAUAUGGACUACAACGGAGCAAAAUGAGUGAAUCUACACUCUAAACUAUGUCUAUAUACAUCCGUAUGUUGUUUGUAGUGAAAUCUCUAGAAAGUCUUAUAUUUAGGGAUAGAGGAACUAUUUGCCAUUUAUUUGAAGAAAGAUAACUUUUACCCAAAGAAAAAUGAAACAUUUUAAUUAAUGACAUUAAUUGGAUAGGGAUAACCUUGUUGCCACCACAUCUAUAUAAGGCGACUAGACGGUGCCCCUCAUGACCACAAAAAUAUACUGGUUGACAGACUAUUGCAUAAUUAUAUAUUUUCUGUUGUUCUGUGUUCUUAGGCAAUGGCGAACAACGGCAUCUUCGAAGUGAUCAUUGUUUUUCUCAUGGCGCAAGUCUGCUUGCUCAUGAUGAUGGCAACACCGGUAGCACAUGCAGCUGCUAGACCGGUGGGGUACAAUCCAGUGUGCUGCCCUAGGAACAUCUAUUGUUGCGGGUUCGGUAGUGGAUUGGCCAAUUCACCCGCACCAUCCAUUGUAUCUUGAUGUGUGGUUUUAUUUUCCCCCAAGUAGUAAGCUCAACAUAUAAUUGAUAUAUGUGGUUCAUGUGUUAUGUAAUCCUGAAUAUUUGUGAUGCUACUUUCAAGAGGUUAUUGUACUAGUUACUUACUUAAUAAAAUGGGAGGAGAUUAUUAUAUAUUUUGUUCGGAAUAUACCGCAAAGAGACUUAAGAUUAUGUUUACUUUAGUUCUUUUGAAAACUAGAUUAUUUUGCUGCAUUGAUUUAAGAAAAAAGAGUAACCAAG